Haliotis rubra (blacklip abalone) is the source of this 311-nucleotide long non-coding RNA. RefSeq lists it as uncharacterized. The transcript has 3 exons. Lineage: Eukaryota; Metazoa; Mollusca; Gastropoda; Lepetellida; Haliotidae. The record is from RefSeq and is a predicted model, not a curated record.
UGUAUUUAAGGGUAUCUGGGUCGAUCUACUUUUAUGUCAUUGUCUUUAGUUGUUUUAACAAUAGCCCAGGCUCAGCUUCUCAGUUAAUUGGUGUAAGUUCAAAUAUACUUCUCACCGCCAUGUUACUAAUCAGUUUUGCACCACACUGUCUCUACAUGAGGACUGUUUUAAAGAUUGAGCUUUGAUCUAAGGAUUAUUGCACGUGUUGGCUGCCCGGCUGCUGGGUGCUUGAGCACACUCCCGUGUCACCCACAGGAGUGUCCACUCCUACUACUUCUCCCACUACGGAAUAAAAGAUAUUGACCUCACAG